UACCGUGGUUGGUCUUCCAAUUUUGCCCUUCCACAUCUCACAUUCAAACCCACCACUCUCCCAUUUUUAAAGAAACGAAAUUCCCUGACCGGCCACUAAUUUCUUCCUCUUCCACCGGUGGCGACAGCGUGGAUCUAAUCGAAAACUCCCUACAGGUUCAAGACAACCAUGGAUCAAUAUUCUACCUCGACGCAUAUGGGCUUCCACACUGCUUCGACUUCCAACCCCGAACCAAUCUCGCCCCAAGCCCAUGCGAAGAGGACUACCCAGCGGACGCCCGAAGAUAAUCGAGUCUUCAUUGCCGCCUGUGAGACUGUAAUAGCCGAUGAGCACCGUAGUGGAAAGUGCUUCACAAAACAUGGCUGCCGCACAAUUGUCCAAUUGUUCAAUGCCAACUCUGGGCACGAUUGGAGUAGGUAGCAGUUGAAGAAACAUUGGGAUUAUCUUCGGGUCAAGUAUAAACGUCUCCAGGACUUGAUAGACAGUACCGACAUAGCGUACGACUCUGUACGCAGCCGUCUAGUCACGUCCGAUGAGUGGUGGACACGAAAGAUUAAGGAGAGCAAAGAUUAUAGAAAGUUCGAAGACAAAAACUGCAGAGAGAUAAACGCCUAUCGAGAUCUGUUCGCGGACGCAUUCGACAGCAAAACGUACGCGAUGACACCGACGAAGCUGUGCAGGACCGAAUUCGCUAUGUUUGAAGACAGUACAAACGACGACACGCGUGAUGCAAUGCCUAUGUACGAUGAGAGUAGCUGCUCCAGUGAUGAGGGCAACAAGUUAGACGGGCCCACUUCAAGCAUGGACAUCUCCGAUCGUAGGAGUGGAGAGAAACGUAGAUCUGGCUACAGUAAAAGCAAGGAGAAAGAACUAAAAUAUCGGCUAAGGAAUUGUCGUACUCAGUUGAUAAGGCCACGAUUGCAAGUGAGAAAGUUGUGGCAAAAAUCAACAACUUAGUUGGAUCCAAUGUUUCGAGCAUGAAGACAUACAUGAAAGAGUUGUUCGCAACUGGCAGUUUGCAAAAGAAAACUGACCUCUACUUUUGGACCUGCACGUUUCCGUCUUUAAAGUGAAACAAGGAAGUCCUGGAGACGUAGGAGGAUGCGAACGAGAAGAUGGAUUGGCUGAAGUGGAACUGGCAUGAGUACAGGAGAGGACGACCGCAGUGGCAACUGCAUGCAGGGCUGAAUAAAUUUUAACCAUUGUGGAAUGGGUGUUUGCUUUGUUAUUUUUUCAUUUUCGUCGGUGUGCGAUUCGUCAACUUUAGAAUAUUGUUGUUGUGUACUUUUUAAGAUUUUCUGUAUCCAUGUAUUUAGUACGAACUACUGAGAUUUCAUGUC
This is a long non-coding RNA of Olea europaea var. sylvestris, 1340 nucleotides long. RefSeq lists it as uncharacterized. The transcript is spliced from 3 exons. Lineage: Eukaryota; Viridiplantae; Streptophyta; Magnoliopsida; Lamiales; Oleaceae. The record is from RefSeq and is a predicted model, not a curated record.